GACGAACGCUGGCGGCGUGCUUAACACAUGCAAGUCGAACGGAAAGGCCCUGCUUUUGUGGGGUGCUCGAGUGGCGAACGGGUGAGUAACACGUGAGUAACCUGCCCUUGACUUUGGGAUAACUUCAGGAAACUGGGGCUAAUACCGGAUAGGAGCUCCUGCUGCAUGGUGGGGGUUGGAAAGUUUCGGCGGUUGGGGAUGGACUCGCGGCUUAUCAGCUUGUUGGUGGGGUAGUGGCUUACCAAGGCUUUGACGGGUAGCCGGCCUGAGAGGGUGACCGGCCGCCUUGGCACCGAGGGGAGGCACAGGUUGGUACGGUAGGCAGCAGUGGGGAAUCCUGAACCAGCGGCGGAACGCUGAUGAAGAAGCCCCGCGUGCGGGAUAACGGCCUUCGGGUUAUAGAACGCUUUCGCCUGAAUCCCCGGCUGAGCGAAGGUAAUCGAUAGAGUAGCCACGGCUAAAUACCUG
RNAcentral lists this ribosomal RNA (468 nucleotides) under uncultured bacterium. RNAcentral describes it as "partial 16S ribosomal RNA". It matches the Rfam family "Bacterial small subunit ribosomal RNA", at positions 28 to 507 of the family's 1533-position model. The record is from RNAcentral.